GGCAACAUGGUGUAGGGGUUUGAGCACUGGACUGUGACUCUGGAGAUCACGGUUCGAUUCCCUGCUUGGCCA
Phrynosoma platyrhinos (Desert horned lizard) is the source of this 72-nucleotide non-coding RNA. The record is from the annotation of a GenBank genome assembly. NCBI's taxonomy places the organism in Eukaryota, Metazoa, Chordata, Lepidosauria, Squamata, Phrynosomatidae.